ACCAGGUGGUCAAGCCGAACACCCAGGAUCCAGCUGUCAAGUUCAGGGUAGCCCCUGAGCUUCUCACUCUGACUCCAACAGGGUGAGCUUGCUAUCCUUGUGGCACAGGGCCUUUUGCAUUGUGGAUGAUGGAGCGGCUCGUAUAGUCCAUAAGUUUUGUGCGUAGCUGUGUACCCUGUCCCUGUGAGCUGGUUCUGCCCGGCACCUCGGUGACCUCGAGGAAAGAAGCUGAGAGACAGAGUCUUGCUUUGUCACCCAGGCUGGAGGGCAGUGGCACCAUCAUAGCUCACUGCAGACUCGAACUCCUGGGCUCAAGGGAUCCUCCUGCCUCGGCCUCCAAAAAUGCCAGAUAUACGAUAUUUCACGUGGAUGACCCGAUUGGCCUGCUGCGGGUCAGGGAAACAGGCUCCCAGGUCGCAUCCUCAGCUUGUUCUUGGCGCUGGAAAAAAGAUGCUACGCGGUUCCCUCCUUCAGCCACCAGAGGGCGCGCCCUCCCCGUUUGUCCUCUUUCGCGCACUUUUUCUCCCGCACCUGUCAGUCACAGGGCAGCCCUUUAGCGGAACAGGGAUCCUGUUCUGUGAUUUUCCUGAGGGCCUGCCUCUCCCAGGGAGUAGCGGGCUCCUACGAACAGUAAUAGCAACCAUAAUGUAGAGACCAAGAGCAGAGUUACUGAGUUUUAUGCUGAUGUCCAAAGUCACAGGGCAUUUCAUUUUUCUUCUUUUUUCCUUUCCUUUAAAAAAAUGGGCUGGGCAUGGUGGCUCACGCCUAUAAUCCCAGCUCUUUGGAAGGCCGAGGCGGGUGGAUCACCCGAGGUCAGGAGUUCGAGACCAGCAUGGCCAACAUGAUGAAACCCUGUCUCUACUAAAAGUACAAAAAAUUAGCUGGCUGUGGUGGUGGGCGCCCGUAAUCCCAGCUACUCGGGAGGCUGAGGCAGGAGAAUCACUUGAACCCGGGAGGUGGAGGUUGCAAUGAGCCGAGAUUGAACCAUUGCACUCCAGCCUGGGCAACAAGAGCAAAACUGUGCCUCAAAAAAAAAAAAAAAAAAAAAAGUGAUUGGGUCGUGAGAGUUCUGUUUUCAUAAAUGAAUUAAUACAUUCAUGAAUUAAUGAGUUAAUAGAUGAAUGGGUUAUCAUGGUAGUAGGACUGGUGGCUUUAUAAGAAGAGGAAGAGAGACUUUAGCUAGCAUCCUCAGCCCCCUCGCCAUGGGAUGCCCCAUGCUGCCUCAACACCCUGUAGAGUCCCCACUAGCCAGAAGGCUGUCAACAGAAGGACCCCACAGUUUCAGCCUCAGAACUGUAAGAAACAAAUUUUGUUUCUUUAUAAAUUA
Long non-coding RNA from Homo sapiens (human), 1327 nucleotides. RefSeq lists it as uncharacterized. The transcript is spliced from 3 exons. The record is from RefSeq and is marked validated. Lineage: Eukaryota; Metazoa; Chordata; Mammalia; Primates; Hominidae.